Lagopus muta (rock ptarmigan) is the source of this 4516-nucleotide long non-coding RNA. RefSeq lists it as uncharacterized. The transcript has 5 exons. The record is from RefSeq and is a predicted model, not a curated record. NCBI's taxonomy places the organism in Eukaryota, Metazoa, Chordata, Aves, Galliformes, Phasianidae.
AAGAAAAUGAGCCUGCAUGAAUAAAUCGAGCAGAUGUGUCACUUUCUAUUGUGCAGAUAGAAGCCUGUUCUGAAGGUUAUACUGAAUUUGUGCCUUGUAAAACUUUCUUGAUGGAAUUACAGCAUUUAAGGCAAUAGAAAAGCCUAAAGUCUGAUCUGUUUCUGGAAAUGGUCCUGUCCCCUUCAGCUGCCUUCUGGACAUCGCUGCCUCUCUGGUAGAACAGUAGAACAGAAGUUAACUACUGCAGCUGCUCUCUGUAAAUAGCUCACUUUCUGUAGUGGCUCAUCCACCUUCUGGCUGACCAGAAAAGCAAUCUGAUAACGGUUAUAAUGCCAUCCUCAAAGCCAUCCUUCGAAUGUGUGGAGUGGGAGAAGUGAAGGGUAUGCAACAGACAGGGGACAGGGACAGCACUCCAGCCCCUUCACACUGAGGCAGAGCUUUUCUGAAGGACUCGAGUCUGCAUUUGCAUGCCUCACUUUCUCAUAGUUCAACUUUGUUUCAUGACUUGUUUGUACAACAAAGACCUUCCAGUGAUAGUACCCAAGAACCUUCACAGUUUCAUCUUGUUUAAAGUCUAAGGGAAACCUCUACCAUUAUUAAGAGAGAUGGUUCUUCGAGUAGAAAAUGGAAAUGUUUUGCCAGGUUUGUACCACAGAAUAAUAUUACGCAAGUGGCAGUUUCUCUGGUGGAUGGUGAUAUUGCUCCAGCACACUUACACAAUGGGGUAUCACUAAUGCCUCCAUUUGGUGGAUUAAUUGCUUUGAUUCUUAACUCUGUGAUGUCUUCUGUUAGGUUGCUGACUGGUUUUUUUUGUUUAUUUUAUGCCAGAAUAGACGCUUCCAAGAAAACCUUCCUGAAUAUACUUUAUUUAUGGCAGUAAAUUCUAUCAGUGGUACCUCUUCACUAUCUGGGAAAUACUUGCACAAAGCUGAGAGGUGUGAGACAGAUGGAUCAUUGUAUCUUCUGAACAGAAUCAUAACCAAGGGACAUAAUAUUUAUUUCUAUUUACUUUUUAAUAUACCAGAGCUUCACCUCUGGACUCUUAUUCUUUUUAAUACAACAGGAAAACGACAUCUAAAUACAUUGCUCUGAUAACCUAAUGAUAUGAAAACAUUUCUGUUUUCUUUAGGUUAUUGUAAGAUUUCUUUUCAUUAUAAGGAGCCUGACUUCACAAGUGCUGAAAAGCCCACAUCCCCAGGACUUCAGUGAAGUCUUGAGCUGUUCACUUUCUUCAGGGGCACAGACAGCCUUCCCAGAAGGUCUCUUCACCAGAGAAGGAAGAUAGGAUUUUCAGUUGCCUGUAACUAUUUGUUCAAGAUAUUGCUUGAGAUGUUCUUACCUGUCAAUAGCCACCUGUUAGAAUAAUAUCAUGAAUAAUGAACUACAACCAACAACUUUUGUGUUUUUUGGUCAGUACAUGAAAAGUCUCCAAAAUAGGAAGUGUUCCUUGUCUUCUGUGGAACCCAGCUUCUGCUUGGCUCAUCACCUACAACCUUAAAUGACUGCUGCCUUUUUGUUGAAGACCUUUAGAAACAGCAUGUGCAAAACACCUGUAGAUAGUCAGGAGAUGAAUAAGAGACAAUUACUUCAUUUAAAUCAGGAAAGUCAAAAAGCAUUUGCAGUCAUUACUCACAUGGCACAGAGCUCAAUAUUCAGCAUCUUGGUACUGUGGACAAGUGAACUGAUACAAGUUUGAGUGUGCUUUGAGGAAAUCUAGAGGUUACUAUUUUUAAGUAAUAAUAAUAGUAAUAAUAAAAAUCUCCCUGAUGUGGAAAUUGAGACAUCAAGAAAAAAACAAUCCACAUAUUUGAGAUCAGUAAGCCUCAGCAAAUGCCUUGAGGCUGUUUGGUGCCUAUCACACGAGGCUGGAAAGGUGCUGUUGAUGGCAAAGUUUGCCAGCUUCAGGCAAACUCAGCUGGUGGUAGCCCUGAUCCUCAGUGAAGCCCACCACUCCUCACAGUUUGCCAACAUCAGGGAUCCAGACAGCAAAGCUCAGCAAGAUAUUUCAGUCACAACAACUGGGAUUGCAGCAAGGGUUUUUCUCUUGCUGGUAGGGUCCAACCACCACUAUAUGUGCUAUUCCAAAGCUGUUCCAUUAAAUUAACCUAGAAUGUGUCCAGCUUAAAAAAAAAAAAAUGGUGCAAAAGUAACAAAGGGGAGGUAAAUUAAGAUUUCAGUGAAUUACAAAGGUUUGAUCUAUUUGAACUGCAGCUGUUGGCAUGUGUUGUCAUCCACUGGUGAGGCUGCACCUCCUGUACUAUGUUCAGUUUUGGGCCUCUCACUACAAGAAAGACAUUGAAGCCUUGGAGUGUGUCCAGAGAAGGGCAAUGAAGCUGUGAAGGGUCUGCAGCACAAGCCUUUUGAGGAGCAGCUGAGGGAGCAGCGUGGAGAAGGGGAGCUCAGGGGUGACAUUAUUGCUUUCUACAGCUCCCGGAAAGGAGGUUGUAGUGAGGUGGUGGUCAUCUACUCCUCUCAGGUAACGGUGAUAAGAAGAGAGGUAAUGGCUUUACGUUGUUCCAGGGGAAGUUCAGGUUAGAUGUUAGGAAAAAUUUCUUCUCAGAAGUAGUAAAGCCUGGGAACAGGCUGUGCAGAGAGGUGAUGGAGUCACUGUCCCUGAAGGUGUUCAAGAAAUGUGGUGAUGCAGUGCUGAGGGCCAUGGUUUUGUGGGCAGUACUGGUGGUAAGUGGACGACUGGACUUGAUGAUCUUAAAGGUCUUUUACAACCUUAGCAGUUCAAUGAUUCUAUCCAGUACUGCAAUACAUUUGUGCUGUUUUGAUGCACCUAGACUUAAAAGGAUCUGUUGGGCACCAAAUAUUGGGAAGCCAUUAGGAGUCACAUGCUCACUGCUCUAGGGACCCUGCUUCUGCCUCCGUGAAGUUGGCGUAUUGUGCAGAUGGAAACCAGCCCUGUUUCUUGAGGUGUAUCUGGCAAGCUGCUGAUUGCUCUCUCACUCGUGCAAGCUGUGACCCUUUCCAGCUGUUCUUAAUCUGGUCCCUUAACCUUUAAUAAAAAAACACCCCACAAACAUAACACACCAGCUUUCCGUUCCUCAGAGCCAAACUUUGCUAACAACAUCUAGGUUGUUUUCAAACCUGGCUUCAAACAUAAAAGUGACUAAUAAAUCUAUAUCCCAUAAUAGGCUGGAAGGCCAUUAUUUAAAAACAUGCUCAGUUUUUACGACCCAUUUCUAGUGAAAAUCCCAACUGCACCUCUCUGAUGCUCCCCUUCUGCUGCUUACAUCCCAGAUGAUGGGCACGAUAGCCAGAGAGACGCACCGGUAAAUAAGUGAAGGCUAUAAACCUGUCUCAGUUUAGUGAUUUGUGUACGUGUGAGGGGGAAGAGAGUAAGGAAAUUCAGUUUUCUAAUCUGCUCAUUUCCUGGCUCUUAGUGCUCUGUAACUUCCCAGCUGCCGGUUCCGUUCUUCCGCGGUUGAUGUCAGUGCAUGCUGCUCCGUGCCCUGCAGUGGGACCGUGCCGCUGGGGGGCUGCGGGUUGCCCCUGCCCUACGGCAGCACCCUGGGGCACCCGGGGACGGGCACAGCGCGGAACCGGAGAGCCCGGGGCGCUGGAAGGAGCGUCGCCCGCUGGCUUCGGGAUCCAGCUUCGGGCUUCCCAUUAGAACAGCACCACAAAUAGCAAUCAAUCAUCAUUCAAGAGCAUCCAUCUUCCUGACUUUUUUUACGGCCUUGUAAUUGCCCCCUCCCUGACAGGAGGAUUUAUGCCCGGCCCGGUACGGGGAGCUCCGCUGCCCGCCUGGUACCGCCGGCUCCUGCGGGGGAACGUGGAACGGCCGCAGCCGCAACCUCCCCCUUCCUCCCCCCCGCCGCCUUCUGCCGAACUGUCGUCUCCAGCAGCUCCCCGCGCUGUUCUCUCUGUUGCUCCAAUCGGGCUGGGGCUUGCUGCCGGGCUCUCAGCUGCCUCCGGUCCCGGGACGAGGAGCGGGCCUAACUCCCAUCACCUGAAUUUUCCGUGCAAAAGUCACGGACCGUCCCGGCGCCGUUCGAAAGGGAAACGCUUUCCCUCUCUCUUCCUCUUUCCCUUUCCCCGCUUCCCAAGCAGGCUGCCUCCCGGUCCCUCCCGCAGCUCCCGCUCCCCCAGCAGCAUUCCCCGAGCCCCGGCCCCGUGCCCUUUUCUGGCCGAAGUUCGGCUGUUUGUCCCCCCCGCGGGGCACGGCCGGGCCCCUCCGGCGGGCAGCGCCCGGGGGGAGGUGAUGGCCUAGAAACCGCGCGGCGCUCAGCGGCGGUGCGGCUGUGCCGCUCCCCUCUCUCGCUGCCCGCGGCUCUCCCUCUCCUCCCGCGGCGGUCGCGGAGUAGCGGGGGAGCCCCGUGCCCCCCAUGCGCGGCGCGGGGGCUCUCAGGCGGCCGGAGGGCGUCCCGCGAGGAACGCCGGCGCUGGGGGGGGCCCCGACCUGCCGCAUCCCCGGCUCUCGGCGCUGACCGGGCCGGAGAAGCCCCUCCGGCGACGGGUCCGUCGGGGCCGCGGCCAUCGGCGGCGGCGAGGCAUCCUCCGGCGGUCG